AGACCCGAAACCCGGUGAUCUAGCCAUGGGCAGGUUGAAGGUUGGGUAACACUAACUGGAGGACCGAACCGACUAAUGUUGAAAAAUUAGCGGAUGACCUGUGGCUGGGGGUGAAAGGCCAAUCAAACCGGGAGAUAGCUGGUUCUCCCCGAAAGCUAUUUAGGUAGCGCCUCGUGAAUUCAUCUCCGGGGGUAGAGCACUGUUUCGGCUAGGGGGCCAUCCCGGCUUACCAACCCGAUGCAAACUGCGAAUACCGGAGAAUGUUAUCACGGGAGACACACGGCGGGUGCUAACGUCCGUCGUGAAGAGGGAAACAACCCAGACCGCCAGCUAAGGUCCCAAAGUCAUGGUUAAGUGGGAAACGAUGUGGGAAGGCCCAGACAGCCAGGAUGUUGGCUUAGAAGCAGCCAUCAUUUAAAGAAAGCGUAAUAGCUCACUGGUCGAGUCGGCCUGCGCGGAAGAUGUAACGGGGCUAAACCAUGCACCGAAGCUGCGGCAGCGACGCUGAUGCGUUGUUGGGUAGGGGAGCGUUCUGUAAGCCUGCGAAGGUGGCCUGUGAGGGUUGCUGGAGGUAUCAGAAGUGCGAAUGCUGACAUAAGUAACGAUAAAGCGGGUGAAAAGCCCGCUCGCCGGAAGACCAAGGGUUCCUGUCCAACGUUAAUCGGGGCAGGGUGAGUCGACCCCUAAGGCGAGGCCGAAAGGCGUAGUCGAUGGGAAACGGGUUAAUAUUCCCGUACUUGGUGUUACUGCGAAGGGGGGACGGAGAAGGCUAUGUUGGCCGGGCGACGGUUGUCCCGGUUUAAGCGUGUAGGUGUGUGUUCCAGGUAAAUCCGGUUCACUUUAACACUGAGGCGUGAUGACGAGGCACUACGGUGCUGAAGCAACAAAUGCCCUGCUUCCAGGAAAAGCCUCUAAGCAUCAGGUAACAUCAAAUCGUACCCCAAACCGACACAGGUGGUCAGGUAGAGAAUACCAAGGCGCUUGAGAGAACUCGGGUGAAGGAACUAGGCAAAAUGGUGCCGUAACUUCGGGAGAAGGCACGCUGACACGUAGGUGAAGUGAUUUACUCAUGGAGCUGAAGUCAGUCGAAGAUACCAGCUGGCUGCAACUGUUUAUUAAAAACACAGCACUGUGCAAACACGAAAGUGGACGUAUACGGUGUGACGCCUGCCCGGUGCCGGAAGGUUAAUUGAUGGGGUCAGCGCAAGCGAAGCUCCUGAUCGAAGCCCCGGUAAACGGCGGCCGUAACUAUAACGGUCCUAAGGUAGCGAAAUUCCUUGUCGGGUAAGUUCCGACCUGCACGAAUGGCGUAAUGAUGGCCAGGCUGUCUCCACCCGAGACUCAGUGAAAUUGAACUCGCUGUGAAGAUGCAGUGUACCCGCGGCAAGACGGAAAGACCCCGUGAACCUUUACUAUAGCUUGACACUGAACAUUGAGCCUUGAUGUGUAGGAUAGGUGGGAGGCUUUGAAGUGUGGACGCCAGUCUGCAUGGAGCCGGCCUUGAAAUACCACCCUUUAAUGUUUGAUGUUCUAACGUGGACCCGUGAUCCGGGUUGCGGACAGUGUCUGGUGGGUAGUUUGACUGGGGCGGUCUCCUCCUAAAGAGUAACGGAG
RNAcentral lists this ribosomal RNA (1614 nucleotides) under Salmonella enterica subsp. enterica serovar Give. Its description in RNAcentral is "partial 23S ribosomal RNA". It matches the Rfam family "Bacterial large subunit ribosomal RNA", at positions 711 to 2305 of the family's 2925-position model. Lineage: Bacteria; Pseudomonadati; Pseudomonadota; Gammaproteobacteria; Enterobacterales; Enterobacteriaceae. The record is from RNAcentral.